This is a non-coding RNA of Myotis brandtii (Brandt's bat), 75 nucleotides long. Lineage: Eukaryota; Metazoa; Chordata; Mammalia; Chiroptera; Vespertilionidae. The record is from Rfam.
GGAAGUUCUCGGGUGACACACCCCAGAAUUGGGCUCUUUUCUCUCUGAUUAUGGGUGUGUCACCUGAGAACUGCA